CGAUGCUACACGAAGAACCUUACCAGGGUUUGACAUGCAAGUGUAGGAACUGAAAGGACGACCUUCGGGAGGCUUGCACAGGUGCUGCAUGGCUGUCGUCAGCUCGUGUCGUGAGAUGUUCGGUUAAGUCCGCUAACGAGCGCAACCCUCACUGUGUGUUAUAUGUGUCACACGGGACUGCCGGUUUUAAGCCGGAGGAAGGUGGGAUGACGUCAAGUCAGCAUGGCCUUUAUAUCCUGGGCUACACACACGCUACAAUGGUCGGUACAAUAGGUUGCCAAGCCGCGAGGCGGAGCCAAUCCAAAAAAGCCGGCCUCAGUUCAGAUUGUAGGCCGCAACUCGCCUGCAUGAAGAUGGAGUUGCUAGUAACCGCAGGUCAGCAAUACUGCGGUGAAUACGUUCCCGGGUCUU
Molecule: ribosomal RNA, 411 nt
Filed under: uncultured Anaerolineaceae bacterium
Lineage: Bacteria; Bacillati; Chloroflexota; Anaerolineae; Anaerolineales; Anaerolineaceae
Description: bacterial SSU rRNA
Rfam family: Bacterial small subunit ribosomal RNA
Source: RNAcentral